AUACUCUUCUGCUUCUCCCUUUGUUUUCCUCCCUUCUUCAUUUCUUUUAAUGUAGUUUUUCUAUGUUUUUCAUUUGUUAAAACUAGUUCACAAGGUUGCGUCACUCGAAAAAAUUAAAUUGUUCAAAAAAUAAAAGUAUAGGGACUAGUUUUAACAAAUGGCAAACUUAGAAAAUUGCGUUAAAAGAAAUAGAGAAUGGAGGAAAACAGAGGGAGAAGCAGAAGAGCAU
This 229-nucleotide microRNA precursor is filed under the name Gossypium raimondii (Peruvian cotton). RNAcentral describes it as "miR7494c stem-loop (gra-MIR7494c)". Lineage: Eukaryota; Viridiplantae; Streptophyta; Magnoliopsida; Malvales; Malvaceae. The record is from miRBase by way of RNAcentral.